UACGUAGGGCGCAAGCGUUAUCCGGAAUUAUUGGGCGUAAAGAGCUCGUAGGCGGUUUGUCGCGUCUGCCGUGAAAUCCCCGAGGCUUAACCUCGGAACUGCGUCUGAAACUACUCGACUAGAGUACUGGAGAGGGAAACGGAAUUCCUGGUGUAGCAGUGAAAUGCGUAGAUAUCAGGAGGAACACCGAUGGCGAAGGCAGGUCUCUGGGCUGACACUGACGCUCAUGCACGAAAGCGUGGGGAGCAAACAGG
This 254-nucleotide ribosomal RNA is filed under the name uncultured bacterium. RNAcentral's name for it is "partial 16S ribosomal RNA". It matches the Rfam family "Bacterial small subunit ribosomal RNA", at positions 524 to 776 of the family's 1533-position model. The record is from RNAcentral.